Molecule: long non-coding RNA, 2977 nt
Filed under: Lynx pardinus (Iberian lynx)
Lineage: Eukaryota; Metazoa; Chordata; Mammalia; Carnivora; Felidae
Source: RNAcentral
GGGAGUGACGGCCCUUCUGGGAAGCACCGCCGGGAGCCGGGAGUACGUGGACGCGGAGGAGCCCUGCCCCAGGUAGAACUGGGCCCGCCGAUCCCGGCGGGGGGGGACGGGGGAGCGCCGCCUUCUGUGCCGUGAUUUUUUUGUUUUGCAACCGGGCAGUACGAGGCCUCGCCCAAGGUCACCUCAGGGCUGUGCACUUGGAAGCUCGGGGCCGCCCCCACCCCGCCUGGAGCGGGAGAGGGCCCGGCGUCCCUGGGGAGGGGACCGCGCGGACGCGGCAGCCCCUGGUUCGGGCGAGCGGGGAAGCUCUGGGGAGGAGGGAGAGGGCCAGCAGUUGCGCCCUUGCCCAGAAGCGGGUGUGUCCUUUCCAUCUUGAGGACAGAAACUUGGGCCUCAGAGAAAUGAUGUGAUUUUUUUUUUUUUUUUUUUUUUUCCCUAGCUCAGUGCUGGCUUUGGGCGAUUUAUUGUGACUUUGCUGCAUGUCAUUUUAUCUUCCAUGCGUUUAAUGGCUGAGGAAAUAGCGGGACGGGGAGGUGGGGUCACCUUGCAGGUAACUGUGGUGGGGCUGAGACUUAGCUCGAGGCCUUGCCUCCGGGUCCUGGGCACUGCCUGGCAACCCCACGUCGCUGUCAUCUCCCUGCUCUCUUCAGGGAUGGUCCCCAGGACUUCUGCACUUGGUAGCGUGGCCACCAGCCCACCUGCACCCCCUCCUCACCCUGCUAGCCUCCCACCUCUAGCCACCUCCCAACUAGUCAUUACUUGGCAGGCACACAGGGCAGGUGACUUGGUGAUGGGUCGGCGCCCCCAGCCUUUGGCCUGGCCAUUCCCACCUGCGAGGAAUGCCUUGCCUUCUCCAUGCAAAUGCGACGUGGGAUCCUGGUUUGGAUCCUGGGACACAAAAAAGGAAGGCAGCGGAAGAAGAGGUGAAAUCUGAGUAAAGUCUGGAGUUUAAUACCAAGUGCCAAAGUUCCUCGCGGUGACAGCCGAACCACGCCUGUGUAAGUUGUUACCUUAAGAGAAACUGAGUGGGGAGGCUACAGCAAAGCUCACGCAGUCUUUGCUACUUUUCUGUAAAUCUAAGAUUAUAAUAAAAACUUCGUUUUAGAACAUCUAAGGAAAAGCAAAGUUUCCCUACCCGUAGGUCCCCGUCUGGUUCUCCCAGGCCUGUGGACAGAUCAAAGGAAGGAUGAUUCUUCUUCUGCCUCGUCUGCAGGGCGCUGGGCAGUCUCCCGUGGAGAGGGGGGCAGGCUUGGGGCUUGGGCGGCUGUGUCUGUCUGUCUGUCGGGAAGAGUGGUCUUGAGGGCUGCCGAGGUAGGCAAGGCCAAGCUCCUGCUGGCGUGGCCUGCUUGCGUCUGAGUUUCAACUUCAAGGGCAAGGUCAGGGCCACAUACUUCUGGCCUCGUGCCCAGUGGGGCCCGUUCUGAGGGCACCGUGUCUGCUGCGGCACACCUGGAAGCUGGGGCUCCAGAUCCUCUCCCUGCAGAGCCUUCUGGUGGCUGGCCAUUUGGUCACGUGCACCGCUGUGCGGGAGCCAGGCGCCGCCGGCUUAUCACCGCCGCUCGUCCUGCAGCCGGAAGCUGUGAACCGGGCCUCUGCAUGUGCCUGGGGAGGUGCCCCGAAACCAUACCGUUUUGCAGGUGGGGAAAACAGGAUCGCAGGGUACGCUCCCCACACGCAGUGUGGAGAGACAGGCGUACGGAGACAGCCAGGCCAAGAGUCCCUGGGCCCCUCCCUCCUUGACCUUACCCACUGCUCCAGCAGAGGAGGGUUGCAGGCAUUUCAAAGACGGGUGGGCCCCCGUGGAGUUUAUCAGACCAAGGAGGCCCCGGGAAGAGCACUGGGCGAGGAGUCAGGACCUGGGUUCUGGGCCAGCUGUGACCUCCCGCCGCCCCCUUCUGUAAAGAGGCGGGCUAGUCGUGCAGCCCAUCGGAGGCUCUGAGGCUGGCGGCCCUCUUGCACUAGACGACAGGUCUAGGGACCGGGGGCCAGCGGGAGGGGAAUCUUCCCUCCGCCCCAGGCCUCACUGCAGUUUUCUCAGCCUCGGGCUUUGACGUCUCGGUGUUCAAGUGUUGGUUAAGAAACACUCAGUCGGCGCCUCUGUGUAUCAGACACCUUUGCCAAGAAAAAUUAUGUCGUGGACGCACCGUGGGCCCGCCUCACAGCUGCCUCCCCGAGAGAUCACCGCUCGGUCUCUGCACGGCCCUCACUCUCCGGGAGCUGCACCCACAGAUUGCGGCGGGCGGCGGGACCCCGAGGAUUCAACCCAGGAGUCCGGGCCUCCGGCUGCUUCGCAACAGCCCCGCCUCCGCACGCAGCUCAAGCCAGACACCAGGUGCCCGCCAGCGACGGCCCCUGACCUGCCGUGCUGUCUGUCCAGCCGGGCCGCCCGCCUCCUGCUUCCGCGGGAUCCAUGUUGCAAAUCAGCUCGCUCUGCUCCCCGGGCCUGCCACUGCCUCGAGACAGAGCCUGAGCCCUUACCCUUGUGCUGGAAGCUCUCGGGUGGCCCUGCCUGACCCCCCCAACCCCUCACCUACUGCCUCUCUUGUUCACUGCCCUCCAACCUCAGUUGCUGGCUGGCUCUUCCUCUACAAGUUCUUCCGGUUGGCCGCCACUGCCCUGCAGGCCCCCAGACCUUGCCCUGGCCUCAGGUCCAGUCCCCCCACCUCCUCCCUGAAUACUGGUUAUUCAUUGUUUGUCUGCCCCCACCCUCUGCCCCAGAGUUUCCCCGGGGAACAGUGGUGAAACUGGUGUCCCCUGCGACCGGAAUAACGCCUGGCACCUUUGUGGCUGCAGGACGCCUGAACGGAGGCAGAAAGAAUGAAGACGGAGCAGCCCCGGAGGGACCGUCACAGGGGGGCUGGGCGAGCUGUCCCCCACCCUGACUCCGGGAUAUGGCUCUAGGGCUGAGAGGGAAGGGUCGGCCUACCCCGGCUGGUAGGCUCGCAGGGCUGCAGGGGGCAGUGCUGAGAUGGUGGGG